AAUAAAAUGGCUGAAGUUUAAGCGAUAAAUUGUAAAUUUAUUUAUGAGAAUUAUCUCUUUUAUUA
RNAcentral lists this transfer RNA (65 nucleotides) under Papilio demoleus (lime butterfly). RNAcentral's name for it is "tRNA-Tyr". It matches the Rfam family "tRNA". From Rfam's summary of the family: Transfer RNA (tRNA) molecules are approximately 80 nucleotides in length. Their secondary structure includes four short double-helical elements and three loops (D, anti-codon, and T loops). Further hydrogen bonds mediate the characteristic L-shaped molecular structure. tRNAs have two regions of fundamental functional importance: the anti-codon, which is responsible for specific mRNA codon recognition, and the 3' end, to which the tRNAs corresponding amino acid is attached (by aminoacyl-tRNA synthetases). tRNAs cope with the degeneracy of the genetic code in two manners: having more than one tRNA (with a specific anti-codon) for a particular amino acid; and 'wobble' base-pairing, i.e. permitting non-standard base-pairing at the 3rd anti-codon position. Lineage: Eukaryota; Metazoa; Arthropoda; Insecta; Lepidoptera; Papilionidae. The record is from RNAcentral.